RNAcentral lists this ribosomal RNA (178 nucleotides) under Staphylococcus pseudintermedius. RNAcentral's name for it is "partial 23S ribosomal RNA". It matches the Rfam family "Bacterial large subunit ribosomal RNA", at positions 1 to 173 of the family's 2925-position model. Lineage: Bacteria; Bacillati; Bacillota; Bacilli; Caryophanales; Staphylococcaceae. The record is from RNAcentral.
AUAUAGAUUAAGUUAUUAAGGGCGCACGGUGGAUGCCUUGGCACUAGAAGCCGACGAAGGACGUUACUAACGACGAUAUGCUUUGGGGAGCUGUAAGUAAGCUUUGAUCCAGAGAUUUCCGAAUGGGGAAACCCAGCACGAGUUAUGUCGUGUUAUCUGCAUGUGAAUACAUAGCAUG